Molecule: ribosomal RNA, 253 nt
Filed under: uncultured bacterium
Lineage: Bacteria
Description: partial 16S ribosomal RNA
Rfam family: Bacterial small subunit ribosomal RNA
Source: RNAcentral
UACGGAGGGAGCUAGCGUUGUUCGGAAUUACUGGGCGUAAAGCGCGCGUAGGCGGCUUUGUAAGUUAGAGGUGAAAGCCCGGGGCUCAACCCCGGAAUUGCCUUUAAGACUGCAUCGCUUGAAUCCGGGAGAGGUGAGUGGAAUUCCGAGUGUAGAGGUGAAAUUCGUAGAUAUUCGGAAGAACACCAGUGGCGAAGGCAGCGAAUUGGCUCUAUAUUGACGCUCAGGCACGAAAGCAUGGGGAUCAAACAGG